RNAcentral lists this long non-coding RNA (312 nucleotides) under Daucus carota (carrot). RNAcentral describes it as "long non-coding RNA (DCAR_LNC001832)". The record is from RNAcentral. Lineage: Eukaryota; Viridiplantae; Streptophyta; Magnoliopsida; Apiales; Apiaceae.
CUUUCUUCAUUACAUUUACAUAUUAUAUAUAAAUAUUUAUAUAAAUUAUGUGUAAUAUACAUAUAUAUAAAUAUAAAUAAUAUUUAUUUUAAUAAUCGGUUCGGUUCGGGUUUUUGCGGUUCGGUUUUGGCCUAAAAUCGGAACCGCAACCGUUAUAAUCCGUUCGGUUUUUAAAUUUUCGAUUUCGGAUCGGUUCGGUUUUUAUCGGUUUCACCAAUUUCGGUUACGGUUUCGGUUUCAAUUCGGUUUCUUGCUCACCCCUACUCUCUUAUAUCAUUACGUACAGUUUAAAUUACAAAACACUUGUUCAUU